GACGAACGCUGGCGGCGUGCUUAACACAUGCAAGUCGAACGGAAAGGCCCUGCUUUUGUGGGGUGCUCGAGUGGCGAACGGGUGAGUAACACGUGAGUAACCUGCCCUUGACUUUGGGAUAACUUCAGGAAACUGGGGCUAAUACCGGAUAGGAGCUCCUGCUGCAUGGUGGGGGUUGGAAAGUUUCGGCGGUUGGGGAUGGACUCGCGGCUUAUCAGCUUGUUGGUGGGGUAGUGGCUUACCAAGGCUUUGACGGGUAGCCGGCCUGAGAGGGUGACCGGCCACAUUGGGACUGGGAUACCGCCCAGACUCCUACGGGGGGCAGCAGUGGGGAAUAUUGCACAAUGGGCGGAAGCCUGAUGCAGCAACGCCGCGUGCGGGAUGACGGCCUUCGGGUUGUAAACCGCUUUCGCCUGUGACGAAGCGUGAGUGACGGUAAUGGGUAAAGAAGCACCGGCUAACUACGUG
Molecule: ribosomal RNA, 468 nt
Filed under: uncultured bacterium
Lineage: Bacteria
Description: partial 16S ribosomal RNA
Rfam family: Bacterial small subunit ribosomal RNA
Source: RNAcentral